AUUGAACGCUGGCGGCAGGCUUAACACAUGCAAGUCGAGCGGGGGAUUGUAGCUUGCUACAUGACCUAGCGGCGGACGGGUGAGUAAUACUUAGGAAUCUGCCUAUUAGUGGGGGACAACGUUCCGAAAGGAGCGCUAAUACCGCAUACGCCCUACGGGGGAAAGCAGGGGAUCUUCGGACCUUGCGCUAAUAGAUGAGCCUAAGUCGGAUUAGCUAGUUGGUAGGGUAAAGGCCUACCAAGGCGACGAUCUGUAGCGGGUUUGAGAGGAUGAUCCGCCACACUGGGACUGAGACACGGCCCAGACUCCUACGGGAGGCAGCAGUGGGGAAUAUUGGACAAUGGGCGCAAGCCUGAUCCAGCCAUGCCGCGUGUGUGAAGAAGGCCUUAUGGUUGUAAAGCACUUUAAGCGAGGAGGAGGCUUACCUAGAUAAUACCUAGGAUAAGUGGACGUUACUCGCAGAAUAAGCACCGGCUAACUCUGUGCCAGCAGCCGCAGUAAGAC
RNAcentral lists this ribosomal RNA (504 nucleotides) under uncultured bacterium. Its description in RNAcentral is "bacterial SSU rRNA". It matches the Rfam family "Bacterial small subunit ribosomal RNA", at positions 30 to 526 of the family's 1533-position model. The record is from RNAcentral.